Molecule: non-coding RNA, 2044 nt
Organism: Malus domestica (apple)
Lineage: Eukaryota; Viridiplantae; Streptophyta; Magnoliopsida; Rosales; Rosaceae
Source: RefSeq, a predicted model, not a curated record
UAUAGAAUAAGGGUUCCUCACUUAUUACAUAUUUGCCCAUUCCUUUAUUACAUAAUUACAUUUGAGUCAUCCGAGUAUUUAUACGAGAUCUAAAUACGGAGGCCCUAAGUAUGGUACAAACAACCAUAAUAUAUUUUGAAAUAGAUUACCACUACAUCAUAGAGCUUGUCCUUUCUAAUUUACUCAAGGUUCAAUAUGUCAACACUCAGCUUCAACUGGCAAACAUUCAUACAAAGUCACUGUCCAAAGCUAGAUUUCAGUAUCUUCAAUCCAGGCUGUCACUUAGUCCUUCACCGUUCAACUAGAGAGGUGUAAAGGAACAACUCAUACUUAGAUGUUUAAUAGUUUGUUUGUGCAAUUGUAGGUUUAUUAUAACAAUUUUGUAACUAAUCCUAGUUUAGUGAGUUCAUUAGGUUUCAUUAGUCACUAAGCUUUAUUUUGACAAGUGUAUAAAUACUGUUUUGUAGUUUCUUAUUCAUUAAUUAAGAAAGAAAUACAAUUGUUUCUUCCUUUUAGUUAAAUGAUUUUAAUAUAUGGUCUAUAUCACAGCCUGUUUUGGGAUAAUUUUAUCGAUGGUGUGAAAAUACGGUUUUACCCUUAAACGUGGGUAGUAGUGUGCGUACAUAACUUAGGUUUAGGUCCAAGUUAUUUUCCUAAGUAUGUGGAACUAAUUGGAAUUAAGUUGUUUUGUUGUUUUGGUUGGUUGGAGUGGGCAAUUUUGGGCCACACACUUACUCCAACUCCCCCCUCUCUCUCUCUCUCUCUCUCUCUCAUUCCCGUGCACUCUCUCUCCUCCUUCUCGAUUUUCUUCUGUUUUCGUCAACUUUGUACGAACGAAUGCCAAACUCACAUUUCACGCACAAAUCGAUGUCAAGAAGGUAAGAUUCGAACUCCUUGCAAAUCCCUGAGUUCAUAUAUGCCAUUUUUUAAAUCGUGAAACCCUCAAAAACCUGAGAAACCAUCACCCCCGAUUUGAGUAAUGUUCAUGUGGUCAUAAUUAUAGAUGUUUCAGGGGAUUUUAAGCUCAUAGGAAGCUUUAGGACGUUUGUAUGAAGCUCGGAGAAGAAAAACCAAGCAAAUUGGACGUCGGGAAGUCGAGUUUGGAGAGUUUGAAAUUUGGCAGGAAUUAUCGAGCUCUCUCCAGCGAGUUUUCGUGGAUUUCAAGCCUUGAAAUUGUUAAGGAUGUGUUCUUCUAGUUAUAAGCUUUAAAUUGAGACCAAUUUCAUAAGUUUUGGUUAAGAAACGACAGAGAUAUAAGGAUUCUAAGAUUUUCCCAGUUUUCGGCGACGGCAACGGUUGCCGGAGUUUGAAGGUAGGGGAUGCCGGAAUAUUCCUAACGGCGUUGGUUAGUUUAACGGAUUCCGUUACUAUUGAACGGAAUAUUCCUUACGGGGUUAAGGGAUUCCGUUAGGGUCCCUGUGCAUGGCCGCGCGUAGGGCCGUGCCCUUGCCGGUGCGUGAAGGCUCCAAAAAUUAUUUAAAAAUAUAAGGAUGUUCGUGGGGUUGUGUAGGUCACGAUCGUAUAUUCAUAUACCUCAAUUGAGCAAUGUAUGAGAAGUUAUUAGCUAAUGUUGGUUAUGUGCUUUAAAUUAACGUUUUUAUAGUUGUUUCGCAAAUAUGAAGACUUAUCCUAAUGACGAGUGCAGUCAAGGGCGACUCGGGGGUUACGACCGUUCGACAUACCAGUUUUAGGUAGACUUGGUGUUGGUGGCGUACGAGGAUCUCAGCGAUUCUGACAGAAUAAAAUAUUUGUAGAACAUCUUCUGAUACUGUAUAACUAGUACUUGUCCUACUGAACUGCACCUAAACUUUCUAUGCUCUGAUUAUGAAUAUUUACACUUGUAUCUCACUCCUAGCACUUCCUGUUUAUUAGUGCACAUUGGUAGCUUUCGGUUUUUAUUUAUUCGUAUAUUUCUUUUUCUUAUUGCUUCCGCACUGUGCACAUGGCUACGUCAUCCUCACGUGACGGCCAACAUGCCUCGAUCUCGGUCGGGGUGUGUCAGUCUAAGUAUCAUAUAUGAUGACAUAUAAAUUUUCUUUUAACU